This 364-nucleotide RNase P RNA is filed under the name Microbacterium enclense. Its description in RNAcentral is "RNase P RNA component class A". It matches the Rfam family "Bacterial RNase P class A". From Rfam's summary of the family: Ribonuclease P (RNase P) is a ubiquitous endoribonuclease, found in archaea, bacteria and eukarya as well as chloroplasts and mitochondria. Its best characterised activity is the generation of mature 5'-ends of tRNAs by cleaving the 5'-leader elements of precursor-tRNAs. The record is from RNAcentral. Lineage: Bacteria; Bacillati; Actinomycetota; Actinomycetes; Micrococcales; Microbacteriaceae.
UGGGUCGGCUGGACGGUCGCGUCACGGGUUCGCCCGUGCCGAGGAACGUCCGGGCUCCACAGGGCAGGACGGUGGGUAACGCCCACCCGGAGCAAUCCGCGAGACAGUGCCACAGAGAGCAGACCGCCCGCGCUUACUGCGCGGGUAAGGGUGAAAGGGUGGUGUAAGAGACCACCGGGGUCGUGGUGACACGGCCCGCGAGGUAAACCUCGUCCGGAGCAAGGCCAGACAGGGGAUGACGACGCGGCUCGCCGAGUCCCCGGGUAGGCCGCUGGAGCGGCACGGCAACGUGUCGCCGAGAGAGAUGACCGUCCACGGGGCUUCGGCCCCCGGACAGAACCCGGCGUACAGGCCGGCCCAUUCG